GUAGGGAAUAUUGGGCAAUGGAGGCAACUCUGACCCAGCCAUGCCGCGUGCAGGAAGACGGCCCUCUGGGUUGUAAACUGCUUUUAUCCGGGAAUAAACCUGCCUUCGUGAAGGUAGCUGAAUGUACCGGAAGAAUAAGGAUCGGCUAACUCCGUGCCAGCAGCCGCGGUAAUACGGAGGAUCCAAGCGUUAUUCGGAUUUAUUGGGUUUAAAGGGUGCGUAGGCGGCCUGUUAAGUCAGGGGUGAAAGACGGUGGCUCAACCAUCGCAGUGCCCUUGAUACUGAUGGGCUUGAAUGGACUAUAGGUAGGCGGAAUGUGACAAGUAGCGGUGAAAUGCAUAGAUAUGUCACAGAACACCGAUUGCGAAGGCAGCUUACUAUGGUCCUAUUGACGCUGAGGCACGAAAGCGUGGGGAUCGAACAGGAUUAGAUACCCGGGUAGUCC
RNAcentral lists this ribosomal RNA (445 nucleotides) under uncultured bacterium. RNAcentral's name for it is "partial 16S ribosomal RNA". It matches the Rfam family "Bacterial small subunit ribosomal RNA", at positions 354 to 796 of the family's 1533-position model. The record is from RNAcentral.